This 498-nucleotide ribosomal RNA is filed under the name uncultured bacterium. RNAcentral describes it as "partial 16S ribosomal RNA". It matches the Rfam family "Bacterial small subunit ribosomal RNA", at positions 28 to 507 of the family's 1533-position model. The record is from RNAcentral.
GACGAACGCUGGCGGCAUGCCUAAUACAUGCAAGUUGAACGAUGAUAUUCUCUGCUUGCAGAGACUUGAAGAGUAGCGCACGGGUGAGUAACACGUGGGGAACCUGCCCAUGAGAGGGGGAUAACAUUCGGAAACGGAUGCUAAUACCGCAUAAUGCUUUGGACCGCCUGGUCCAGAGACGAAAGACGGCUUUUGCUGUCACUCAUGGAUGGCCCCGCGCCGUAUUAGCUAGUUGGUGAGGUAAUGGCUUACCAAAGCUGUGAUACGUAGCCGACCUGAGAGGGUGGUCGGCCACACUGGGACUGAGACACGGCCCAGACUCCUACGGGAGGCAGCAGUAGGGAAUCUUCCACAAUGGGCGAAAGCCUGAUGGAGCAAUGCCGCGUGAAUGAAGAAGGUCUUCGGAUCGUAAAGUUCUGUUAUUAGAGAAGAACAAGUCAAGGAGUAACUGUCUUGACUUUGACGGUACCUAACCAGAAAGUCACGGCUAACUACGUG